This 911-nucleotide ribosomal RNA is filed under the name uncultured bacterium. RNAcentral describes it as "bacterial SSU rRNA". It matches the Rfam family "Bacterial small subunit ribosomal RNA", at positions 9 to 916 of the family's 1533-position model. The record is from RNAcentral.
GAGUUUGAUCCUGGCUCAGGAUGAACGCUGGCGGCGUGCUUAACACAUGCAAGUCGAACGGAGUACCCCUGAAGGAGUUUUCGGACAACUGAUGGGACUACUUAGUGGCGGACGGGUGAGUAACGCGUGAGUAACCUGCCUUGGAGUGGGGAAUAACAGCUGGAAACAGCUGCUAAUACCGCAUAAUAUGUCUGUGUCGCAUGGCACUGGACAUCAAAGAUUUAUCGCUCUGAGAUGGACUCGCGUCUGAUUAGCUAGUUGGCGGGGUAACGGCCCACCAAGGCGACGAUCAGUAGCCGGACUGAGAGGUUGGCCGGCCACAUUGGGACUGAGACACGGCCCAGACUCCUACGGGAGGCAGCAGUGGGGAAUAUUGGGCAAUGGGCGCAAGCCUGACCCAGCAACGCCGCGUGAAGGAAGAAGGCUUUCGGGUUGUAAACUUCUUUUCUCAGGGACGAAGCAAGUGACGGUACCUGAGGAAUAAGCCACGGCUAACUACGUGCCAGCAGCCGCGGUAAUACGUAGGUGGCAAGCGUUAUCCGGAUUUACUGGGUGUAAAGGGCGUGUAGGCGGGACUGCAAGUCAGAUGUGAAAACCACGGGCUCAACCUGUGGCCUGCAUUUGAAACUGUAGUUCUUGAGUACUGGAGAGGCAGACGGAAUUCCUAGUGUAGCGGUGAAAUGCGUAGAUAUUAGGAGGAACACCAGUGGCGAAGGCGGUCUGCUGGACAGCAACUGACGCUGAGGCGCGAAAGCGUGGGGAGCAAACAGGAUUAGAUACCCUGGUAGUCCACGCUGUAAACGAUGGAUACUAGGUGUGGGGGGACUGACCCCCUCCGUGCCGCAGUUAACACAAUAAGUAUCCCACCUGGGGAGUACGAUCGCAAGGUUGAAACUCAAAGGAAUUGACGG